This 247-nucleotide ribosomal RNA is filed under the name uncultured bacterium. RNAcentral's name for it is "partial 16S ribosomal RNA". It matches the Rfam family "Bacterial small subunit ribosomal RNA", at positions 523 to 769 of the family's 1533-position model. The record is from RNAcentral.
AUACGUAGGUCACGAGCGUUAUCCGGAAUUAUUGGGCGUAAAGCGCGUGUAGGCGGUUUGUUAAGUCUGAUGUGAAAGCCCCGGGCUCAACCUGGGAAGUGCAUUGGAUACUGGCAGACUUGAAUACGGGAGAGGGCAGUGGAAUUCCUGGUGUAGGAGUGAAAUCCGUAGAUAUCAGGAGGAACACCGGUGGCGAAGGCGGCUGCCUGGACCGAUAUUGACGCUGAGACGCGAAAGCGUGGGUAGC